Small nucleolar RNA from Talpa occidentalis (Iberian mole), 131 nucleotides. RefSeq annotates it as small nucleolar RNA SNORA41. The transcript has a single exon. The record is from RefSeq and is a predicted model, not a curated record. NCBI's taxonomy places the organism in Eukaryota, Metazoa, Chordata, Mammalia, Eulipotyphla, Talpidae.
UUCCACAGCUACUGGUAUGCAACUGUUCUUAUGGUAGCAGUUGUGGCAUUCCUCUGCGGCAAAGAAGCUUAUAACAUUAAACACCUCUUUCUUAGCAAAACAGAAAGUGGCCAUAUCUAUAACAAAUAAGA